RNAcentral lists this transfer RNA (72 nucleotides) under Ovis aries (sheep). It matches the Rfam family "tRNA". From Rfam's summary of the family: Transfer RNA (tRNA) molecules are approximately 80 nucleotides in length. Their secondary structure includes four short double-helical elements and three loops (D, anti-codon, and T loops). Lineage: Eukaryota; Metazoa; Chordata; Mammalia; Artiodactyla; Bovidae. The record is from Rfam by way of RNAcentral.
UCUUUAUUGGCUCAGAGGUUAAAGCGUCUGCCUCCAAUGAGGGAGACCCAGGUUCGAUCCCUGGGUUGGGAA